RNAcentral lists this ribosomal RNA (716 nucleotides) under uncultured bacterium. Its description in RNAcentral is "bacterial SSU rRNA". It matches the Rfam family "Bacterial small subunit ribosomal RNA", at positions 55 to 779 of the family's 1533-position model. The record is from RNAcentral.
AUGCAGUCGAGCGGGGUUUUCGGACCUAGCGGCGGACGGGUGAGUAAUGCGUAGGAAGCUACCCGAUAGAGGGGGAUACCAGUUGGAAACGACUGUUAAUACCGCAUAAUGUCUACGGACCAAAGUGUGGGACCUUCGGGCCACAUGCUAUCGGAUGCGCCUACGUGGGAUUAGCUAGUUGGUGAGGUAAUGGCUCACCAAGGCGACGAUCUCUAGCUGGUUUGAGAGGAUGAUCAGCCACACUGGAACUGAGACACGGUCCAGACUCCUACGGGAGGCAGCAGUGGGGAAUAUUGGACAAUGGGCGCAAGCCUGAUCCAGCCAUGCCGCGUGUGUGAAGAAGGCCUUCGGGUUGCAAAGCACUUUCAGCGAGGAGGAAGGGUUGUGUGUUAAUAGCACGCAAUUUUGACGUUACUCGCAGAAGAAGCACCGGCUAACUCUGUGCCAGCAGCCGCGGUAAUACAGAGGGUGCAAGCGUUAAUCGGAAUUACUGGGCGUAAAGCGCGCGCAGGCGGUUGGUUAAGUCAGAUGUGAAAGCCCCGGGCUCAACCUGGGAAUUGCAUUUGAAACUGGCCAACUAGAGUAUGUGAGAGGGGGGUAGAAUUCCAAGUGUAGCGGUGAAAUGCGUAGAGAUUUGGAGGAAUACCAGUGGCGAAGGCGGCCCCCUGGCACAAUACUGACGCUCAGGUGCGAAAGCGUGGGGAGCAAACAGGAUU